RNAcentral lists this ribosomal RNA (495 nucleotides) under uncultured bacterium. Its description in RNAcentral is "partial 16S ribosomal RNA". It matches the Rfam family "Bacterial small subunit ribosomal RNA", at positions 28 to 507 of the family's 1533-position model. The record is from RNAcentral.
GACGAACGCUGGCGGCGUGCCUAAUACAUGCAAGUAGAACGCUGAAGGAGGAGCUUGCUCUUCUGGAUGAGUUGCGAACGGGUGAGUAACGCGUAGGUAACCUGCCUGGUAGCGGGGGAUAACUAUUGGAAACGAUAGCUAAUACCGCAUAAUAGUAGAUGUUGCAUGAUAUUUACUUAAAAGGUGCAAUUGCACCACUACCAGAUGGACCUGCGUUGUAUUAGCUAGUUGGUGGGGUAACGGCUCACCAAGGCGACGAUACAUAGCCGACCUGAGAGGGUGAUCGGCCACACUGGGACUGAGACACGGCCCAGACUCCUACGGGAGGCAGCAGUAGGGAAUCUUCGGCAAUAGACGAAAGUCUGACCGAGCAACGCCGCGUGAGUGAAGAAGGUUUUCGGAUCGUAAAGCUCUGUUGUAAGAGAAGAACGAGUGUGAGAGUGGAAAGUUCACACUGUGACGGUAUCUUACCAGAAAGGGACGGCUAACUACGUG